This 103-nucleotide ribosomal RNA is filed under the name Bordetella sp. 02P26C-1. RNAcentral describes it as "partial 23S ribosomal RNA". The stretch from base 1 to 84 matches the Rfam family "Bacterial large subunit ribosomal RNA", at positions 2842 to 2925 of the family's 2925-position model. The record is from RNAcentral. Lineage: Bacteria; Pseudomonadati; Pseudomonadota; Betaproteobacteria; Burkholderiales; Alcaligenaceae.
AGACCAGAACGUUGAUAGGUCGGGUGUGGAAGCGCAGUAAUGCGUUGAGCUAACCGAUACUAAUUGCCCGUGCGGCUUGAUCCUAUAACUCUGUAGGUUUUAU